AACGCUAGCUACAGGCUUAACACAUGCAAGUCGAGGGGAAACGACAUCGAAAGCUUGCUUUUGAUGGGCGUCGACCGGCGCACGGGUGAGUAACGCGUAUCCAACCUGCCCACCACUUGGGGAUAACCUUGCGAAAGUAAGACUAAUACCCAAUGAUAUCCCACGAAGGCAUCCGAAUGGGACUAAAGAUUUAUCGGUGAUGGAUGGGGAUGCGUCUGAUUAGCUUGUUGGCGGGGUAACGGCCCACCAAGGCUACGAUCAGUAGGGGUUCUGAGAGGAAGGUCCCCCACAUUGGAACUGAGACACGGUCCAAACUCCUACGGGAGGCAGCAGUGAGGAAUAUUGGUCAAUGGGCGAGAGCCUGAACCAGCCAAGUAGCGUGCAGGAUGACGGCCCUAUGGGUUGUAAACUGCUUUUAUAAGGGAAUAAAGUGGGUCUCGUGAGACUUUUUGCAUGUACCUUAUGAAUAAGGACCGGCUAAUUCCGUGCCAGCAGCCGCGGUAAUACGGAAGGUCCGGGCGUUAUCCGGAUUUAUUGGGUUUAAAGGGAGCGUAGGCCGGAGAUUAAGCGUGUUGUGAAAUGUAGUGGCUCAACCUCUGCACUGCAGCGCGAACUGGUCUUCUUGAGUACGCACAACGUGGGCGGAAUUCGUGGUGUAGCGGUGAAAUGCUUAGAUAUCACGAAGAACUCCGAUUG
This 696-nucleotide ribosomal RNA is filed under the name uncultured bacterium. Its description in RNAcentral is "bacterial SSU rRNA". It matches the Rfam family "Bacterial small subunit ribosomal RNA", at positions 32 to 715 of the family's 1533-position model. The record is from RNAcentral.